UUUAUGGAGAGUUUGAUCCUGGCUCAGGAUGAACGCUGGCGGCGUGCCUAAUACAUGCAAGUCGAGCGAACAGAUGAGAAGCUUGCUUCUCUG
Molecule: ribosomal RNA, 93 nt
Filed under: Mammaliicoccus sciuri
Lineage: Bacteria; Bacillati; Bacillota; Bacilli; Caryophanales; Staphylococcaceae
Also listed under: 1 other name
Description: Staphylococcus sciuri partial 16S ribosomal RNA
Rfam family: Bacterial small subunit ribosomal RNA
Source: RNAcentral